RNAcentral lists this long non-coding RNA (1134 nucleotides) under Androctonus crassicauda. The record is from RNAcentral. Lineage: Eukaryota; Metazoa; Arthropoda; Arachnida; Scorpiones; Buthidae.
ACCUAUAUAAAGUUUAUCGAACGUCUUCCUUUUUAAUUAUCGGUUGUUUGGUCUCCUCAUCCUUUCUUUGUUGCUUCUUUUGUGGCUAUCUUGGGGCGUACUUCCAUGCCGGGGGGGGCUCCCACGCUACUCUAUCAUUGACUAGUUCUUCUCUAUCUAAUCUUUUUGGUGUUUCUAGGGAUUCUGAUGCUGCAGAUUGUGUGCAGUUCCAUACUGGUUUGAUUUGCUUAGCAUCCUUCCAGCUUGUAUUUGUGUCUUCGUUGUAGGCUUCUUGGGCUAAUGCUGUGUUGAGUCUUGCCAUAUUGAUGUCUCGCUUGUGUUCCUCCGUUCUCCUUUCUAUUGUCCUUGAUGCUCCAAUGUGUGCCGAUUUCUUACUUGUUUUGUUGUUGGUUAUGGGAACACUGUAGACUCUCUUUCUCUCAUGUUGCGCUAGGGGGUCUUUCUCAUUUUUCAGUAUGUUAUAUAUAGUUGAAUUCCUUUCUAUCGCUAUCUUUCUUUUGCUUUUUCUAUUACUUUUUGCACUGCUUUCGGGCUAUUUGGGUGGUAUGGGACUGGCAUGUAUUCAUUUGGUGUAUGGUUGUCUUCUUUCCGUUCUCUGGGAACAAGGUUCCUCUUUGGCCAUAUAUUCAUUCGGUAUCUGGUUAUCUUCUUCUGUUCUCUGGGAACAAGGUGCUGCUUAAAGAUCCAAUUCAUGAAGGGUCUAUCAUAUCCAUGUUUUCUUCCAAUAUCUGCAAUAUAUUUAAGCUCCGCUUCCAGAUUUUUAUCAUCAUUACAAUACAUCAACGCUCGUCUAUAAAGGCUCCUGAAGGCCAACUUUUUAAAGCUCAUGGGGUUGUUCAACCAUAUCGGUAUUAAAAUUGCUCUAUAUAAUUGGUUUCCCAUACACAAUUGGUUUAAGUGUUCCAUUCUUUAUAUUAAUUUGCAAAUCCAGGAAAUGCACACUUUCCUUACUUAAUUGGUCCCUUUUUAGGGUAUGCCCAAAUUGCUCUAAUAUGAAAUCUUCAGUGAACUUCAUGAACUGGAUGUUUAAGCAGGCUAAGAGGAACUUUGUUUCCAGAGAGCGGAAGGAGGAUAGCCGGGUGCUGAAUGAAUAUGUGGGAGUCCCGUACCGCCCAAAUGGCCUGGGGGUGGUGC